This 502-nucleotide ribosomal RNA is filed under the name uncultured bacterium. RNAcentral's name for it is "bacterial SSU rRNA". It matches the Rfam family "Bacterial small subunit ribosomal RNA", at positions 29 to 507 of the family's 1533-position model. The record is from RNAcentral.
AAUCAACGCUGGCGGCGUGCCUAACACAUGCAAGUCGAGCGCGAAAGGGAGCAAUCCCCAAGUAGAGCGGCGGACGGGUGAGUAACACGUGGGUAACCUACCCUCGGGUGGGGAAUAACUCAGGGAAACUUGAGCUAAUUCCGCAUAACAUCCCGGGCUCAUAAGAGUCCGGAAUCAAAGCUGGGGACCCUUCGGGGCCUGGCGUCUGAGGAGGGGCCCGCGGCCGAUUAGCUAGUUGGCGAGGUAACGGCUCACCAAGGCGACGAUCGGUAGCCGGCCUGAGAGGGCGGACGGCCACACUGGAACUGAGACACGGUCCAGACUCCUACGGGAGGCAGCAGUGGGGAAUCUUUGGCAAUGGGGGCAACCCUGACCAAGCAACGCCGCGUGGAGGACGAAGGCCCUCGGGUCGUAAACUCCUGUCGGACGGGACGAAUGCGGUUGGGUCGAAUAAGCCCAGCCGUUGACGGUACUGUACGAGGAAGCCCCGGCUAACUCCGUG